This 209-nucleotide ribosomal RNA is filed under the name Bionectriaceae sp. RNAcentral describes it as "partial large subunit ribosomal RNA". The record is from RNAcentral. Lineage: Eukaryota; Fungi; Ascomycota; Sordariomycetes; Hypocreales; Bionectriaceae.
AAGCGUUCAUGACCAGACUUGGGCAGGUUGAUCAUCCGUGGUUCUCCGCGGUGCACUCUGCCUGCCCAGGCCAGCAUCAGUUUUCCCCGGGGGAUAAAGGCGGCGGGAAUGUGGCUCUCUUCGGGGAGUGUUAUAGCCCACCGUGUAAUGCCCUGGGACGGACUGAGGUUCGCGCUCUGCAAGGAUGCUGGCGUAAUGGUCAUCAACGA